This 895-nucleotide ribosomal RNA is filed under the name Alexandrium tamarense. RNAcentral's name for it is "partial Bacterial small subunit ribosomal RNA". It matches the Rfam family "Bacterial small subunit ribosomal RNA", at positions 1 to 932 of the family's 1533-position model. Lineage: Eukaryota; Dinophyceae; Gonyaulacales; Pyrocystaceae. The record is from RNAcentral.
AAGGAGAGUUUGAUCCUGGCUCAGAAGGAACGCUGGCAGCGUGCAUAACACAUGCAAGUCGAACGAUGAAGCAUUCUUCGGAAUGUGGAAGAGUGGCGAACGGGUGAGGAACACGUAAGAAUCUGCCCCUCGGUCGGGGACAACUCUUGGAAACGAGAGCUAAUACCCGAUACGCUGUGGAGUGAAAGAAUUUCGCCGAGGGAUGAUCUUGCGUCUGAUUAGCUAGUUGGUGUGGUAAAGGCAUACCAAGGCGACGAUCAGUAGCUGGUCUGAGAGGAUGAACAGCCACAUUGGAACUGAGACACGGUCCAAACUCCUACGGGAGGCAGCAGUGGGGAAUUUUCCGCAAUGGGCGAAAGCCUGACGGAGCAACGCCGCGUGAGGGAUGAAGGCCUCUGGGCUGUAAACCUCUUUUAUCAAGGAAGAAGAUCUGACGGUACUUGAUGAAUAAGCCACGGCUAAUUCCGUGCCAGCAGCCGCGGUAAUACGGGAGUGGCAAGCGUUAUCCGGAAUUAUUGGGCGUAAAGCGUCCGCAGGCGGUCUUGUAAGUCUGUCGUUAAAGCGUGGAGCUUAACUCCAUUUGAGCGAUGGAAACUGCAAGACUAGAGUGUGGUAGGGGCAGAGGGAAUUCCCGGUGUAGCGGUGAAAUGCGUAGAUAUCGGGAAGAACACCAGUGGCGAAGGCGCUCUGCUGGGCCAUAACUGACGCUCAUGGACGAAAGCCAGGGGAGCGAAAGGGAUUAGAUACCCCUGUAGUCCUGGCCGUAAACGAUGAACACUAGGUGUCGGGGGAAUCGACCCCCUCGGUGUCGUAGCCAACGCGUUAAGUGUUCCGCCUGGGGAGUACGCACGCAAGUGUGAAACUCAAAGGAAUUGACGGGGGCCCGCACAAGCGG